Tachysurus vachellii is the source of this 2905-nucleotide long non-coding RNA. RefSeq lists it as uncharacterized. The transcript has 4 exons. Lineage: Eukaryota; Metazoa; Chordata; Actinopteri; Siluriformes; Bagridae. The record is from RefSeq and is a predicted model, not a curated record.
CUAAUAAUUAUUUAGUUUGUUUUUUUCUUUUUCAAUAAAUAGUUUAAAAAUGUAUUACUUUCAAACAGGAAAUAACUAAGACAAUGUUGUUAUAAAGAAAGAUGUGUGUUGUUGUGUUAACCAAUGAGGUAGUUUUCUCACUGACCUCGGGAGGUCAGAGGGCGGAGUGCGAGGGAAGAAGGAAGUGGAGUGUGAGGGAUGACACGAGGUGGCGGAUAUACCUGCGCGAAUCGCACGGUCCGGGGAAAAUCGCACGGAAAAGCGCGAAAACCGAGUUUGCAGACGGGGGAAAAAAAAAGGACACCUAGCAGAUAAGAGACUUUGUGAGAGACAAAGGAUACCGCAAGUUCUCUUCAUCUCAGUGCUUAACGGUUUGCAACGCGAAUACUCGUGUGCAGUGCGUGAGAACCGGAGAAACUAAGGCUACACAAUUCGGCAGGAGAGACCGGAGGCCUCGUGGAGACUUCUACUGCAUCUUUUCCUUGUUUACAUCGUUGGCUAGUGGAUGUUUCCCUUUUGAGUUUCCCUGUUCCGUUGGAUUGCGUGUAAAUGUUCUUCUGUAGCACCACAGACCCUCCAGCUCAGGGACUGCAGACUGAACUGAACUCUUAAAGCAGUUUUCCUCACUGCCAGUCCGAGAGCUGCAGCACUGCACAGUUUAUUUUACUGCUUCAACACCUGAUAAAGCUCAUGAAGGGCUUCAUAAUGAGACGAGUGAGUUUGAUUACGUGGAACACUGCUGUAAAACACCUCACUGUACUGACCUCACAUCAGUAGAACUGUCUCUGUCUCUGAAGUUAUUUGGACAUCCCAUUGACUCGUCACUCUUCAUGGACACACAGCUGGGUUCUGAUCCAGUCUGUAAACUUAUUCAAACAGGAGACAGGCCUCAUAACUCAGGAAUUACACUGAUAUCAGGAGUCCCAAUCACAGCAAACUGACUCAGAUUACAGCAGGACACACGUUUACUUCACUCCAACAUCGGUGUGUUAAAUUAAACCCUGAAUCAGCAGAGUUCACUUACAGGAAAUAGUCACGCUAUCAAGUUAUAAAACAACCUGUGUACAUUAAAACUUCAGUACAAACCCACACUCUUCUGCAUCUAGUGUCACUUCAGUGUGUUUAUAUAUUAGAGCUUUAGAUACUCACUGUGUUUUUACUCCUGAAAUCUUUUAUGUUUCACUUCACACAAAAUGGAGCUGCUGACUUUCACUUUUACUGACACUGGUCUAACUGAUUUUUCUGGUUUAUGCUGAAGUGUAUGUACUGUAUGUGUGUGUGUGUGUGUGUGUGUGUGUGUUUCAUUUCUGUUUAUUUAUCUUUUCACAGACAUUUUUAGGGAUUUUUUAUUAUGAGCAGGAGAUAGAAUCCAAUUCUCAGCUGGUGAAUGAGAAUCAUAGCUGAUGUAUCAUGUGCACAGACAUUCAGUAAGAAAUAAUGUGAGGUCUCAUGAUGUUCAUGCUGCAUUUUAAGUUAGUGAUGUGCUUUUUUUUAUUAUUGGUCAGUGCUGUUAUCAGUGUCAUAUGACAUGAUACAGAAACACUUAGUAAAUCUCAAUGUGAUAAACUGGUUUAAUAACAGAAUCUGCACUACAACACCUCUGGUAAACGUCUUCAUUGUCUACUAUUGAGUAAUAAACAUGUAUUCAAUAAGGGGACAUGUGAAUAUACUGUGUUGGAAUGUUGGAAACAAAUGUAUAUCAUGUGAUCAGAUACUUUAUUUAGUUUUUACUCCUGAAAUCUUUUAUUUUUCACCCGUCACAAAAUGGAGCUGUUGACUUUCACUUUUACUGACACUAGUCUAACUGGUUUGUCUGGUUCAUGCUGAUGUUUGUGUGUGUGUGUGUGUGUGUGUGUGUGUGUGUGUGUGUGUGUGUGUGUGUGUGAGGACUCAUAAUGUUAGGAUUAUAGUAUAUGUGCUGCAUUAUAAGUUAGUGAUGUACUUUUUUAUUAUUGGUCAGUGCUGUUAUCAGUGUCAUAUGAUGUGAUACAGAAACACUUAGUAAAUCUCAUUGUGAUAAACUGGUUUAAUAACAGAACCUGCACUACAACACCUCUGGGAAACAUUAUCAUUGUCUAAUAUUGAGUAAUAAACAUGUAUUCAAUAAGGGGACAUGUGAAUAUACUGUGUUGGAAUGUUGGAAACAAAUGUAUAUCAUGUGAUCAGAUACUUUAUUUAGUUUUUACUCCUGAAAUCUUUUAUUUUUCACCCGUCACAAAAUGGAGCUGUUGACUUUCACUUUUACUGACACUAGUCUAACUGGUUUGUCUGGUUCAUGCUGAUGUUUGUGUGUGUGUGUGUGUGUAUGUGUGUGAGGACUCAUAAUGUGAGGAUUAUAGUAUAUGUGUAUAUGUGCAUUAUAAGUUAGUGAUGUGUUUUUUUUUAUUAUUGGUCAGUGCUGUUAUCAGUGUCAUAUGAUGUGAUAUAGAAAGACUUUGUAAAUCUCAUUGUGAUAAACUGGUUUAAUAACAGAACCUGCACUACAACACCUCUGGGAAACAUCAUCAUGGUCUAAUAUUGAGUAAUAAACAUGUAUUCAAUAAGGGGACAUGCGGAUAUACUAUGUUUUUGAAACUUAUGUGCAUUAUGUGAUCAGAUAAUUGGCUCAAUAAAUUGGAUUGGUUAGGGGAAUAAAUGGAGAAUAUUUUUAAAAAGAAGUUAAAAAAAGACUUAAAUUCUUGAUGGAAAACAAUAAAUGAAAUGUUUAGAUAUUUCAGGACGUUUGAGCAGAGAGGAUCUUUAAAUAAUACUAAAAACCAUGAAUUAUUUUACAAAAUAAAUGUUUUUGUCAUUCUGAUAUUAGAUAAUAGAUAUUAGUUUUUAUUGACUGAUAUAGAGAAAUGAUUUAUGAAGCAUUAAAGGAAUGCUGAACAUUUUACAUUAGUAAUAUUAUUAGUGAUACACA